This 85-nucleotide transfer RNA is filed under the name Pseudomonas fragi. RNAcentral describes it as "tRNA-Gln(ctg)". The record is from RNAcentral. Lineage: Bacteria; Pseudomonadati; Pseudomonadota; Gammaproteobacteria; Pseudomonadales; Pseudomonadaceae.
GUCUGGCUGGAUCGCGAGAUCGGCGCCCUCUCUGGUAUGGCAGCGGGAGCAAUCGCCAUCGAGAGUUCGACACUCACUUCGGGCU